RNAcentral lists this ribosomal RNA (26 nucleotides) under Harrisia fragrans. Lineage: Eukaryota; Viridiplantae; Streptophyta; Magnoliopsida; Caryophyllales; Cactaceae. The record is from RNAcentral.
UGGGAAGUCCUCGUGUUGCACCCAUC